Molecule: ribosomal RNA, 497 nt
Filed under: uncultured bacterium
Lineage: Bacteria
Description: partial 16S ribosomal RNA
Rfam family: Bacterial small subunit ribosomal RNA
Source: RNAcentral
GAUGAACGCUGGCGGCGUGCCUAAUACAUGCAAGUCGAGCGAACAGACGAGGAGCUUGCUCCUCUGACGUUAGCGGCGGACGGGUGAGUAACACGUGGAUAACCUACCUAUAAGACUGGGAUAACUUCGGGAAACCGGAGCUAAUACCGGAUAAUAUAUUGAACCGCAUGGUUCAAUAGUGAAAGACGGUUUUGCUGUCACUUAUAGAUGGAUCCGCGCCGCAUUAGCUAGUUGGUAAGGUAACGGCUUACCAAGGCAACGAUGCGUAGCCGACCUGAGAGGGUGGUCGGCCACACUGGAACGGAGACACGGUCCAGACUCCUACGGGAGGCAGCAGUAGGGGAUCUUCCGCAAUGGGCGAAAGCCUGACGGAGCAACGCCGCGUGAGUGAUGAAGGUCUUCGGAUCGUAAAACUCUGUUAUUAGGGAAGAACAAAUGUGUAAGUAACUAUGCACGUCUUGACGGUACCUAAUCAGAAAGCCACGGCUAACUACGUG